This is a non-coding RNA of Pelobates cultripes (western spadefoot toad), 230 nucleotides long. The record is from the annotation of a GenBank genome assembly. NCBI's taxonomy places the organism in Eukaryota, Metazoa, Chordata, Amphibia, Anura, Pelobatidae.
AGAGGCUUGGUGAACUUAAAUUUGUUAGUGUGUGUGUCUGUCAGUCUGCGUCAAAUCAGUGAGUUCAUGUCUGUGAGUGUGUCUGGUUAGGUGACCAGCCCACCCGCAAUCACAUAGGAAAGGUGUUUUUACUCACCUUUUGUGCCACGCCUUGCUUCUGUGGCUGAGAUAAUCUUGAUCUCAGCCAAUCCAGUGCUUUUCCCAUCUCAUUGAAUCAGUGCAUCUUUAUG